This 253-nucleotide ribosomal RNA is filed under the name uncultured bacterium. Its description in RNAcentral is "partial 16S ribosomal RNA". It matches the Rfam family "Bacterial small subunit ribosomal RNA", at positions 524 to 776 of the family's 1533-position model. The record is from RNAcentral.
GACGGAGGAGGCAAGCGUUAUCCGGAAUUAUUGGGCGUAAAGCGGCCGCAGGUGGCGAUUCAAGUCUCCUGUCAAAGGUCGGGGCUUAACCCCGGGAAGGCAGUGGAAACUGAAUAGCUAGAGUGCGGUAGGGGCAGAGUGAAUUCCCGGUGUAGCGGUGAAAUGCGUAGAGAUCGGGAAGAACACCAGUGGCGAAAGCGCUCUGCUGGGCCUGCACUGACUCUGAGGGACGAAAGCUAGGGGAGCGAAAGGG